AAAUUGAAGAGUUUGAUCAUGGCUCAGAUUGAACGCUGGCGGCAGGCCUAACACAUGCAAGUCGAACGGUAACAGGAAGAAGCUUGCUUCUUUGCUGACGAGUGGCGGACGGGUGAGUAAUGUCUGGGAAACUGCCUGAUGGAGGGGGAUAACUACUGGAAACGGUAGCUAAUACCGCAUAACGUCGCAAGACCAAAGAGGGGGACCUUCGGGCCUCUUGCCAUCGGAUGUGCCCAGAUGGGAUUAGCUUGUUGGUGGGGUAACGGCUCACCAAGGCGACGAUCCCUAGCUGGUCUGAGAGGAUGACCAGCCACACUGGAACUGAGACACGGUCCAGACUCCUACGGGAGGCAGCAGUGGGGAAUAUUGCACAAUGGGCGCAAGCCUGAUGCAGCCAUGCCGCGUGUAUGAAGAAGGCCUUCGGGUUGUAAAGUACUUUCAGCGGGGAGGAAGGGAGUAAAGUUAAUACCUUUGCUCAUUGACGUUACCCGCAGAAGAAGCACCGGCUAACUCCGUGCCAGCAGCCGCGGUAAUACGGAGGGUGCAAGCGUUAAUCGGAAUUACUGGGCGUAAAGCGCACGCAGGCGGUUUGUUAAGUCAGAUGUGAAAUCCCCGGGCUCAACCUGGGAACUGCAUCUGAUACUGGCAAGCUUGAGUCUCGUAGAGGGGGGUAGAAUUCCAGGUGUAGCGGUGAAAUGCGUAGAGAUCUGGAGGAAUACCGGUGGCGAAGGCGGCCCCCUGGACGAAGACUGACGCUCAGGUGCGAAAGCGUGGGGAGCAAACAGGAUUAGAUACCCUGGUAGUCCACGCCGUAAACGAUGUCGACUUGGAGGUUGUGCCCUUGAGGCGUGGCUUCCGGAGCUAACGCGUUAAGUCGACCGCCUGGGGAGUACGGCCGCAAGGUUAAAACUCAAAUGAAUUGACGGGGGCCCGCACAAGCGGUGGAGCAUGUGGUUUAAUUCGAUGCAACGCGAAGAACCUUACCUGGUCUUGACAUCCACAGAACUUUCCAGAGAUGGAUUGGUGCCUUCGGGAACUGUGAGACAGGUGCUGCAUGGCUGUCGUCAGCUCGUGUUGUGAAAUGUUGGGUUAAGUCCCGCAACGAGCGCAACCCUUAUCCUUUGUUGCCAGCGGUCCGGCCGGGAACUCAAAGGAGACUGCCAGUGAUAAACUGGAGGAAGGUGGGGAUGACGUCAAGUCAUCAUGGCCCUUACGACCAGGGCUACACACGUGCUACAAUGGCGCAUACAAAGAGAAGCGGCCUCGCGAGAGCAAGCGGACCUCAUAAAGUGCGUCGUAGUCCGGAUUGGAGUCUGCAACUCGACUCCAUGAAGUCGGAAUCGCUAGUAAUCGUGGAUCAGAAUGCCACGGUGAAUACGUUCCCGGGCCUUGUACACACCGCCCGUCACACCAUGGGAGUGGGUUGCAAAAGAAGUAGGUAGCUUAACCUUCGGGAGGGCGCUUACCACUUUGUGAUUCAUGACUGGGGUGAAGUCGUAACAAGGUAACCGUAGGGGAACCUGCGGUUGGAUCACCUCCUUACCUUAAAGAAGC
This 1554-nucleotide ribosomal RNA is filed under the name Escherichia coli. Its description in RNAcentral is "bacterial SSU rRNA". It matches the Rfam family "Bacterial small subunit ribosomal RNA". Lineage: Bacteria; Pseudomonadati; Pseudomonadota; Gammaproteobacteria; Enterobacterales; Enterobacteriaceae. The record is from RNAcentral.